AAGCGAAACCGGCCGCCACGGCGGUCGGUCUGCCUGGCGCGGUGGCUAGGCACUGAUGAGCAGCCAAAA
RNAcentral lists this non-coding RNA (69 nucleotides) under Massilia sp. KIM. The record is from RNAcentral. Lineage: Bacteria; Pseudomonadati; Pseudomonadota; Betaproteobacteria; Burkholderiales; Oxalobacteraceae.